UACGUAGGGGGCAGGCGUUAUCCGGAUUUACUGGGUGUAAAGGGAGCGUAGACGGCCAGACAAGUCUGAAGUGAAAAUCCAGCGCUUAACGUUGGAAGUGCUUUGGAAACUGCCGGGCUAGAGUGCAGGAGGGGCAGGCGGAAUUCCUAGUGUAGCGGUGAAAUGCGUAGAUAUUAGGAGGAACACCAGUGGCGAAGGCGGCCUGCUGGACUGCAACUGACGUUGAGGCUCGAAGGCGUGGGGAGCAAACAGG
This 253-nucleotide ribosomal RNA is filed under the name uncultured bacterium. RNAcentral describes it as "partial 16S ribosomal RNA". It matches the Rfam family "Bacterial small subunit ribosomal RNA", at positions 524 to 776 of the family's 1533-position model. The record is from RNAcentral.